Molecule: long non-coding RNA, 563 nt
Organism: Toxorhynchites rutilus septentrionalis
Lineage: Eukaryota; Metazoa; Arthropoda; Insecta; Diptera; Culicidae
Exons: 2
Source: RefSeq, a predicted model, not a curated record
UGUAAGUGCAAAACGAAACAUUUCAAUAUCCCAAUCAUGAUGAACAAAAAUUGUUCGAUAUUGUUCUUCGUCAUCAUCGUAACAGUAGCAGUUUCCGCUAGGACUCUCAUAUAUCCCAGUAUCACACGUAAUAAUAGUAGUCAUUAUCGAACGGUGAACCAUCCAGCUUUAAUGAACUUCACAAAUUAUCCGCGGCGUUGGACUUUGCCACGAUUCAAUUCGACAAUAUUUAACGGGUGGAAUAGAACGAAUUUCACAAACCGUUCGAGGAACGCUUCUUACAACAGCUGGAGCCGAGUGCCCAAUAGAGGCUUUGCAUCGAAUUACUCUGUACCUAUCCGGAAUGCAACGGCAUCAAAUGCAGUCUACAACGGGAGGUUCUAGGUGGGAAUAUUUGCAGAGUGGUAUAUUUUGAUGACUUUUCAGGAUUAUAGAAGUAAGAUGAGAGUUCUGCGAGAAUAACAUUAGUAAUCAACUGCAAUCAAAUGAUGAAAUGCUAUACAUAUCCUUUGUCGCCAAAUAGAUCGAAAUGAAUUGAAUGAUAACAAAAAUAUUUCUACUUA